GCCUCUUGGUUGCUUCCUGAUUCUGGCAGGCAGGCUUCCUCAGGGCUUGUCUCUGGUCUGGUGAAGGGUCUUGGGCUGUCUCCGUACUUGUCCCCUCUCCUGGGUCUGUGGUCUCCCAUUCCUCUUCCUCCUCGGAACAGAAUGCAAAGAUUUUAAAAACCAGCAGCAAAACUAUUCUGGGGAUUGAGAGGAAGUGUGUGCUAGACAACCAGAGAAGAAAGUAUGUUUGAACUGAACAGACCAAGUGCUCUUCCAAGCCAUUCCCACUCUAGAAGAACAUGAAGACAGCCCUGCUGGAUCAGACUAAAAUCCUAUCUCUUCUCACAGUUGCCAACCAGAUGCCUAUGGGAAACCCCAAGCUAGUCAUGAAUGCAGUACAUGUGCAUAUGAUACAUCUACCUUCACCUUUAGACUAUGUUUCCAGACACACAACUAUGCUGUAACUUGGAUGAAAGUGUAUCUUUUCCAAAAGCCUUUGCUUCAACAUGUCCAUGAUUCACAAAGAGAAUGAAAGAAUCUAUUAUACACCAAUAUCCAAUCAAGACAUGCAGUGUCUCUGGAUUUCUGUUGCAAAGCUGAUGAAAAUUCAGACCAAAGAGAUAACAUCUCUGCAGUUUGAGAACUGCCUGUCUAAAAGUUCUUCAUAUUUUUUUUAAGUGUUUUGCAAGACAGCAAAAAUGAAAUUGAUCUCUUGGUGGACAAACAGCAGGGUCCUGUUCUUCCAGAAAACAGAUAUUGACUAGGGCAGUUUCACUUGUAGGGAGGAAAGAACAAUCUUUGUAAAAGUGACAAAGAAUGGUACAUUAGAGUAUUAAAAAUAGGGAGCCGUUUAGAGAAAAACCAGCAAAAAAACAGAUAGAGGACAAUGGCAGAGGUGGAUCUUAGGAAUUCUUUUGUUCCUGAGAGCUCCAGCAUGUUCUAUAUUUAGAAACCAUCUCCUUUAGAGGAAAAACAGAGCGAUUCAUCUUCCUUCUGAUGAGCAUGAAACUGUACUCUGUGCUGCAAGACCUCAUUUCUUGGAAACAGCAUGAGAAGAGAUAAUUUAAUGUCUUGAUCUUAGCUGGCUAACAUUUUAACCUCUAUGGUAAUCCAAAACAAACUUUGAAAAUUCAAGAAUGGAACUCGUGAGUUUUUAGAAAAGGCUGAACACACAGCAAUCACCAGAUUUCCCCUUCAACCAUGGCCACAGGUUCAAACUGGCAAAGCAUCCUCAUAAUCUAAAUAGUACUAUUAGGUACAUUAUUCAAGGAAGGAACAGAUAAUCUAGUUUAAAAAAUGAUGCAAAAAUACAAAGUAUCUACUGUAUCUUCCACCAUAAAUUUACAAACAGAGUUAUCAUGCAUAGCUAAAGCCGUCUCCACUUGUCUACUCUGAUACGUAACAAGUCACACUGCCAGGCUCACAUCAGGUUCAUAGU
This is a long non-coding RNA of Rhineura floridana, 1417 nucleotides long. RefSeq lists it as uncharacterized. The transcript has 3 exons. The record is from RefSeq and is a predicted model, not a curated record. Lineage: Eukaryota; Metazoa; Chordata; Lepidosauria; Squamata; Rhineuridae.